AAUCCAUGGUGCUGGCAUUUUUGAAUUAACAUUUUGAAUCGUUCCCAUGCCUCAUAGAAACUUUCUCCCUCCAUCUAUCUAAAAACAACAAUCUCCCUUAUUAGUAAU
Gossypium raimondii (Peruvian cotton) is the source of this 108-nucleotide non-coding RNA. The record is from Rfam. NCBI's taxonomy places the organism in Eukaryota, Viridiplantae, Streptophyta, Magnoliopsida, Malvales, Malvaceae.